AACGAACGCUGGCGGCAUGCCUAACACAUGCAAGUCGAACGAGACCUUCGGGUCUAGUGGCGCACGGGUGCGUAACGCGUGGGAACCUGCCCUUAGGUUCGGAAUAACUCCCCGAAAGGGGUGCUAAUACCGGAUAAUGUCUUCGGACCAAAGAUUUAUCGCCUUUGGAUGGGCCCGCGUUGGAUUAGCUAGUUGGUAGGGUAAAAGCCUACCAAGGCGACGAUCCAUAGCUGGUCUGAGAGGAUGAUCAGCCACACUGGGACUGAGACACGGCCCAGACCCCUCCGGGGGGCAGCAGGGGGGAAUAUUGGACAAGGGGCGAAAGCCUGAUCCAGCAAUGCCGGGUGAGUGAUGAAGGCCUUAGGGUUGUAAAGCUCUUUUACCCGGGAUGAUAAUGACAGGACCGGGGGAAUAAGCCCCGGCUAACCCCGU
This 432-nucleotide ribosomal RNA is filed under the name uncultured bacterium. RNAcentral describes it as "partial 16S ribosomal RNA". It matches the Rfam family "Bacterial small subunit ribosomal RNA", at positions 29 to 506 of the family's 1533-position model. The record is from RNAcentral.